UACGGAAGGCAGCGGUGGGGAAUAUUGCACAAUGGGCGCAAGCCUGAUGCAGCCAUGCCGCGUGUAUGAAAAAGGCCUUCGGGUUGUAAAGUACUUUCAGUCGUGAGGAAGGUGUUAAGGUUAAUAACCUUAGCAAUUGACGUUAGCGACAGAAGAAGCACCGGCUAACUCCGUGCCAGCAGCCGCGGUAAUACGGAGGGUGCGAGCGUUAAUCGGAAUUACUGGGCGUAAAGGGCACGCAGGCGGUUAAUUAAGUUGGAUGUGAAAUCCCCGGGCUUAACCUGGGAAUGGCAUUCAAGACUGGUUAGCUAGAGUCUUGUAGAGGGGGUAGAAUUCCAUGUGUAGCGGUGAAAUGCGUAGAGAUGUGGAGGAAUACCGGUGGCGAAGGCGGCCCCUGGACAAAGACUGACGCUCAUGUGCGAAAGCGUGGGGAGCGAAACAGGGAUUAGGA
This 451-nucleotide ribosomal RNA is filed under the name uncultured bacterium. RNAcentral's name for it is "bacterial SSU rRNA". It matches the Rfam family "Bacterial small subunit ribosomal RNA", at positions 340 to 783 of the family's 1533-position model. The record is from RNAcentral.